RNAcentral lists this long non-coding RNA (297 nucleotides) under Bos taurus (domestic cattle). RNAcentral describes it as "long non-coding RNA NONBTAT022996". Lineage: Eukaryota; Metazoa; Chordata; Mammalia; Artiodactyla; Bovidae. The record is from RNAcentral.
UUAAACUACACGAGCAGUGCAUGCAGCUAUCUGUGUGCGCUGAUAUUGUUUAAAGGUAAUACUUAUUCUUGGAAGGCAAGGCACAUCAUGUGAUAGAAAAUUUCGUGCAAAUUAGGAAACAUGGAACUUUUUUAAGGGCCAGGUCACAGAAAUCCUCGACUAAGCACCAUGCAAAGUUAGGAAGCUGGGGGCUGCCGGGUGCCCCUUCCCCUUCCCUGCCUACCCGCACCCUCAGGUUCCCGGCUGACAAGCUUCCGGAUACCCCAACUGCACGACCCACCCCUCCUGCCCUCCCCC